RNAcentral lists this ribosomal RNA (583 nucleotides) under uncultured bacterium. RNAcentral describes it as "bacterial SSU rRNA". It matches the Rfam family "Bacterial small subunit ribosomal RNA", at positions 392 to 975 of the family's 1533-position model. The record is from RNAcentral.
CCAUGCCGCGUGCAGGAAGACGGCCCUAUGGGUUGUAAACUGCUUUUAUACGGGAAGAAACACUCCCUCGUGAGGGAGCUUGACGGUACCGUAAGAAUAAGGAUCGGCUAACUCCGUGCCAGCAGCCGCGGUAAUACGGAGGAUCCAAGCGUUAUCCGGAAUCAUUGGGUUUAAAGGGUCCGUAGGCGGGACAAUAAGUCAGCGGUGAAAGUCUGUGGCUCAACCAUAGAAUUGCCAUUGAUACUGUUGUUCUUGAGUGUUUAUGAAGUGGUUGGAAUAUGUAGUGUAGCGGUGAAAUGCAUAGAUAUUACAUAGAACACCGAUUGCGAAGGCAGAUCACUAAUAAAAUACUGACGCUGAUGGACGAAAGCGUAGGUAGCGAACAGGAUUAGAUACCCUGGUAGUCUACGCCGUAAACGAUGGUUACUAGCUGUUCGGUCGUAAGACUGAGUGGCUAAGCGAAAGUGAUAAGUAACCCACCUGGGGAGUACGUUCGCAAGAAUGAAACUCAAAGGAAUUGACGGGGGCCCGCACAAGCGGUGGAGCAUGUGGUUUAAUUCGAUGAUACGCGAGGAACCUUACC